RNAcentral lists this small nuclear RNA (22 nucleotides) under Arabidopsis thaliana (thale cress). RNAcentral's name for it is "snRNA_02308". The record is from RNAcentral. Lineage: Eukaryota; Viridiplantae; Streptophyta; Magnoliopsida; Brassicales; Brassicaceae.
AAAACAAAGCAUUGCGAUGGUC